This 719-nucleotide long non-coding RNA is filed under the name Phasianus colchicus (ring-necked pheasant). RNAcentral's name for it is "lncRNA (ENSPCLG00000006250.1)". The record is from RNAcentral. Lineage: Eukaryota; Metazoa; Chordata; Aves; Galliformes; Phasianidae.
AUGCACCGCUACUUUCCCUCAGCUGUCUCAUUUAGCAUCUUGUUUGCUUUUGUCUCAUACCAUUCUCCUUACCUUUCUUUUCUUUUUCCCCAGAGAGCCUUGCUUGCUGACUCUCCCAAUGGCUUUGCUGAGGUUUCGAUGCCCAACUCUUGUGAGUGUGGUGAGCCUUGGGGACUGUUCACAUUCAAGCAAUCCUAUGGGACAGCUGUGAUGGCGUUAGCUGGCUUCCAAAUAUCCCAACUGUGCUGGAGAAAGUUGGUCACCAAUUCUGGACUCAAGGAAAGUCAACAGCUUUGAAGCGGUUGAUGUGGCAUUUCUACUUCUGGACUUUUAGGAACUCUUCCUUGAUUUUGCAGAGAAUCUGUUCAAAUGUACUCAGUGGUUGUUGAGAUCCGAGGUUGCCUGUCACACCAAUAAAAUCUUUCUGUUUCCUUCUCCAUGGUUUUGGAAUGAGAAACACCUCAUGGCUCACUGCAGCAGGAGAGAAAGCUUCAGUGACACAGCUGCUGAGUGCAGGUUCGAAUAACUGUGGUUUUAAGAACAUCUCCAAUCCAUGUCGUGAAGGAAGGGCUCUGGGAAUGGGGCGAUCAGGCAGAAUUGGUCAGUGGUGUACCUGUGACACACAGAGCAGCCGGAGCUGCCCCACAGGGAGGGGAGAGCACAGAGCUGAUGUGUUAAGUGUGAGGUGUAUGUGUGGGAAUGGGCUGGGAACCAGCUGA